RNAcentral lists this small RNA (48 nucleotides) under Sinorhizobium meliloti 2011. Its description in RNAcentral is "putative ncRNA". The record is from RNAcentral. Lineage: Bacteria; Pseudomonadati; Pseudomonadota; Alphaproteobacteria; Hyphomicrobiales; Rhizobiaceae.
AAACGUUUGAAUCAAGGCUACCUUAUUAGAUGAGGAUCCUUUGCCUGA